AGAGAGAGACAUGCGCGCAUAUCAAUAAGCGGAGGAAAAGAAACUAACAAGGAUUCCCUUAGUAACGGCGAGUGAAGCGGGAAGAGCUCAAAUUUGAAAUCUUCAAGGUUUUACCUUGACGAAUUGUAGUUUAAAGAAGUGUUUUAUGCUGAAGUUUUGGUAAAAGUUCUUUGGAAUAGGACAUCAUAGAGGGUGAGAAUCCCGUAUUUGACCAUUAUUUUCAGCUUUGUGACUACACUUUCAAAGAGUCGGAUUGUUUGGGAAUGCAGUCCAAAAUGGGUGGUAAAUUUCAUCUAGAGCUAAAUAUUGGCGAGAGACCGAUAGCGAACAAGUACCGUGAGGGAAAGAUGAAAAGAACUUUGAAAAGAGAGUUAAACAGUACGUGAAAUUGUCAAAAGGGAAGCGUUUGACACCAGUGUUGUUUUCUCGAAAAUCAAUUAAAAAUGGCUCGAUUUUGUAUUGUUGAGACCUUAAAAGCUCACUGUACAUUUUUAGUGUCUUUUUUAAUGCACUUUUCGUUUAACAAGUCAACAUCAGUUUCUUUUGUUGUAAAAGGGUCAUUGGAAGGUGGCUUUCUUUUCGGAGAAAGUGUUUAUAGCCUUUGGCCUCUGCAAUCGGAGAGACUGAGGUCUGCAGCGUAGACUCUUCGGGGUUAGAUACAUUUGUGCUAAGUUAUAGCUUUUUAUAGACAACUUGUUGACUAUAAUUAGUCUUGUAGCUUACUCGCUUAUGCUAUUUUACCUACGCUUAGGAUGUUGAAGAUGUAGCACAUCAU
This 775-nucleotide ribosomal RNA is filed under the name uncultured Neocallimastigales. Its description in RNAcentral is "partial large subunit ribosomal RNA". It matches the Rfam family "Eukaryotic large subunit ribosomal RNA", at positions 23 to 634 of the family's 3401-position model. Lineage: Eukaryota; Fungi; Neocallimastigomycota; Neocallimastigomycetes; Neocallimastigales. The record is from RNAcentral.